This 254-nucleotide ribosomal RNA is filed under the name uncultured bacterium. RNAcentral describes it as "partial 16S ribosomal RNA". It matches the Rfam family "Bacterial small subunit ribosomal RNA", at positions 524 to 777 of the family's 1533-position model. The record is from RNAcentral.
UACGGGGGGAGCAAGCGUUGUUCGGAUUUACUGGGCGUAAAGGGUGCGUAGGCGGCGCGGUAAGUCGGGUGUGAAAUUUCGGAGCUUAACUCCGAAACUGCAUUCGAUACUGCGGUGCUUGAGGACUGGAGAGGAGACUGGAAUUCAUGGUGUAGCAGUGAAAUGCGUAGAGAUCAUGAGGAAGACCAGUGGCGAAGGCGGGUCUCUGGACAGUUCCUGACACUGAGACACGAAGGCCAGGGGAGCAAACAGGG